Molecule: ribosomal RNA, 248 nt
Filed under: uncultured Actinomycetes bacterium
Lineage: Bacteria; Bacillati; Actinomycetota; Actinomycetes
Description: uncultured actinobacterium partial 16S ribosomal RNA
Rfam family: Bacterial small subunit ribosomal RNA
Source: RNAcentral
GACGAACGCUGGCGGCGUGCUUAACACAUGCAAGUCGAGCGGUAAGGCCCUUUCGGGGGUACACGAGCGGCGAACGGGUGAGUAACACGUGGGUGACCUGCCUUCAGCUCUGGGAUAAGCCUGAGAAAUUGGGUCUAAUACCGGAUAUGACCUUCUGCCGCAUGGUGGGGGGUGGAAAGAUUUGUUUUGGCUGGAGAUGGGCCCGCGGCCUAUCAGCUUGUUGGUGGGGUGAUGGCCUACCAAGGCGA